AUCAUAUUUAGAAUUUUCAUAUGGGACAAGAGGUUUGGCUAGAGAUGCCAGUACAAACUAUAUUAGUUUUGCAAAAAUACCUAUAUUCUCAGCUAUUAUAUUAAUUAGUAAAUAGUAUUUAAGUUCAUGUAUGUGAAUUGAACAAAACAUGAACAGUUUUAAGCAUAUAUUUUCAUCUGUUCUUAGGAUCAAUCUAUAAUCCACAAAACUGAACAUCUACACAAAGAACAAUCAAAAGCAAAUAAUUAUGCUACAAAUCAAGAAAGUACAAAAGUAUUGGUAGAUCUUGCCUCCAGAAGAUUUAUUAACAGGCUGAAGGAAGAGAAAAAUUAUUGAUACAGCAGUCAUGUAACCAAGUUAAUUUUCAUUUAAGAUAUUUUUAGAGCUGUUCAAAAAUAGAAAAAUGGAGACUUUUCAAGAUUUAGAAGACAAUCCAAGCGUAAUAAACAGUAUUAAAACUUUAUUGGUACCCAAAUUAUCUCACUAUAAGCUAUUAACAUUUA
This 503-nucleotide long non-coding RNA is filed under the name Bos taurus (domestic cattle). Its description in RNAcentral is "long non-coding RNA NONBTAT006686". Lineage: Eukaryota; Metazoa; Chordata; Mammalia; Artiodactyla; Bovidae. The record is from RNAcentral.